CACAUGAAAUCGACCACGGCGUCGAAGACUGUAGAAAAGCUUCGCACCGUUUUUGCAGCGUUUGGGCUUCCCGAACAGAUUGUGACAGAUAAUGGUCCUCAAUUUGUGUCUGACGAAUUUGCAGUUUUCCUCAGAUCCAAUGCUGUGCAACACGUCAAGACACCUCCGUACCAUCCGGCUUCGAAUGGGGCAGCAGAGAGGCUCGUCCAGACGGUAAAGAACUUGGUACGCCAACUGCGAGACGAGAGGCGCUCGGGGCAAGCCCGAACCAUUCAACACCGGCUGGACCAGUUACUCCUCACAUACCGCAACACGCCAUGCUCCACGACUGAACAGUGCGCAUCACUGGCGCACCUCUAGCGCAACCUGGUCCGGCGACCCCUGAAGAAACAGAGGAAACUCCUACCGAGGUCCAGGAACCAACGUCGGAAGCUACAGAUUCUACCGCCGUUGAACAACCUCCUGAACCUCUGCCACGCCGAAGCACAAGGGUUCGGCGACAGCCUGAAAGAUAAGGAUAUUAAC
Molecule: RNA transcript, 525 nt
Organism: Dermacentor silvarum
Lineage: Eukaryota; Metazoa; Arthropoda; Arachnida; Ixodida; Ixodidae
Exons: 2
Source: RefSeq, a predicted model, not a curated record